Molecule: long non-coding RNA, 2493 nt
Organism: Clupea harengus (Atlantic herring)
Lineage: Eukaryota; Metazoa; Chordata; Actinopteri; Clupeiformes; Clupeidae
Source: Ensembl
CGCCCUCCAGUCGGAAUAAUUGGCCAAUUAAACGUCUACAUUGUCGUGCUGAAGGUGCAUGACCAGGCUUUUGAAAGAGUAGGUGGUAGUGACUGGGGCGGCAACAUGAAUCGUGUUAAACGGCCAUAAAGUGAGAAUGGCUCCGCGAGGGGAGACGCACACAGGGCAGUGAUCGAGCACCCGGGGUUAAAGGUCACACAUGCUGAAGAACAAAGGGCUGGUAAAGCAAAUGGCCCGCGCAGGACAGUCAAACAUAGGCUUGUGCGCUUCAUAAAACCGUUAGUCUUAAAGAGGCUGAGGGAAAGGGAAGUCUGAGAGAGAACAUGCCCAUCCUGCUUUGGCUGAAAACCUUAAAAGAGGAAACUGAAGUCCUCCCUCUUCAGAGAAAGCCUCAUCAUCCAAAGAGCUGCCCCUGGAGCCAUGCAUGCUCAGACAGACCAAAGCCAACCCUGAGCAGCAUAUCCCUCACACUCCAGCCCUAAGGCCCCUCACACUCCAGCCCUAAGGCCACGACGACCUUUAGAGCUCCGCCGUUACAAUGUGUGGUUCAGAGACUUGUGGGGGGAAGAGCUUCUGAAGGUGGAUGACACUGCAUUUUAGAGCCGUCUGAUACUUCUUUUCAAGGAAUCUGGCGGCCUGAAAUCCGGUGAACCGAAAACACUGGUGCGUAUUUUAAUUCACAUGAGAUCCUUUAGGUCGAUUACACUGUACCUUAGGGGGAAAAAAGAAAAAAAAACUCAAGCUGUUUCUAAGACUCUGUCUGUUCCCAAUGCAGUCAGACUCAUUGGUACAUGUUUUCAUGCGAACGCCGGAUUCCUGAGCAGAUUAGUUUGCAGUAACGGGGAUCAGCGGCCGGCAAUCCUCGUGGUGAGGACGCUUAAACCCAAACGAGGCAUCGCCACGGCGCAAACGUAAGGGCACAGCUUUGCGUAACUGAGGAGGGGGAGACAACGCAAGCCCAGGUCAGGCUGACACAGACCUGUCUCCCUACACAGACCUGUCUCCCCACACAGACCUGUCUCACACAACACAGGUCUGUCUCCCCUCCCGGUGCCAGGGCGUACACGCAGAGCUAUGUCAGCGGCAGUGACCCGAACGGAGGUUAUUUACAUGUUGGGAAUUACAUUGCAUAACAGCAACAAUGCGCUUUGUUUUUCCUGGUCUGUAGCCUACAUGAUCUGGUGCAAGCAGGGAUUUAGACCUACCAGUUACAAAUCCGUAAAUUACAUAGAAUUUUUCCACUGCCUGUGUCUGUGAAUCUGUCUGUGUGUGUGUGUGAAUCUGUGUGUGUGUCUGUGAAUCUGUGUGUGCGUGUGUGUCUGUGAAUCUGUGUGUGUUUGUGUGUGUAUGUGUGUCUGUGAAUCUGUGUGUGUGUCUGUGAAUCUGUGUGUGCGUGUGUGUCUGUGAAUCUGUGUGUGUUUGUGUGUGUAUGUGUGUCUGUGAAUCUGUGUGUAUGUCUGUGAAUCUGUGUGUGUGUGUGUGUGUGUGUGUGUCUGUCUGUGAAUCUGUGUGUGUUUGUGUGUGAGUGUGUCGGUGGAUGAAACACAGAAUAUACACAAGGAAGAAUAAUGAACUGCCAGGAGUGUAUGCAUAUAUUUAGGUGUGUUUGGGCGGCCUGUGCCGGAUCAAAGUCGGAUCUGCGUCAGGUCCAUCUCAGAGUGGGCUGUUUUUCCGCAGGAUGGGAGGCUUGGAGGCUUCCAGUGUGUCUAUCAGCGGGUCAAAUCGAUGAGGGACACACACACACACACACACACACACACACACACACACAUACACACACACACACAUACACACACACACACACCCAUUUCACACACACACGCACAUACACACACUAACACACACACACACACACACACACACACAUACACACAUACACUCACACACACAAAUUUCGCACUUUCAUCCCCAGCUAUUCAGUACAUACUGUGUUCAGUGAGUUUCCAUGCAUAGUGCUGUGUAAUGAUUGCUUCAGCAUAUUUAAUUAACCAUCUGUUUACUGGGCAGCGUAAUGAUGAGCUAAUGCUGUAUGUUAAAAUAUGAUCUUAUGCAAUAAACUGUCCUAUUUAUUUUAAUUAUUAGUUUCCUUCACUGGGACCCUCCCCUGAGUAGGCUGAGGCAUGUGCAGUCAAGAGCUGGGGUGAAGUGUGUGUGACCAAAUGAACAGGUUUAAAUGGAGCGCAGGAUGCCUUGUGUGUGUGUGUGUGUGUGUGUGUGUGUGUCUGUGUGUGUUUGUGUGUGUGACCAAAUUAGCAGUUUUAAAUGGAGCGCAGGAUGCCGUGUGUGUGUGUGGGGGGGGGGGGGGUGUGAGUGUGUGUGUGUGUCUGUGUGUGUAUGUAUGUGUGUGACCAAAUUAACUGGUUUAAAUGGAGUGCAGGAUGCCGUGUGUGUGUGUGUGUGUGUGUGUGUGUGUGUGUGUGAGUGUGUCGGUGGAUGAAACACAGAAUAUACACAAGGAAGAAGUGGCGAUUUUAGCCUGAGAUUUCUGGUGGG